This 661-nucleotide ribosomal RNA is filed under the name Salmonella enterica subsp. enterica serovar Johannesburg. RNAcentral describes it as "bacterial SSU rRNA". It matches the Rfam family "Bacterial small subunit ribosomal RNA", at positions 1 to 656 of the family's 1533-position model. Lineage: Bacteria; Pseudomonadati; Pseudomonadota; Gammaproteobacteria; Enterobacterales; Enterobacteriaceae. The record is from RNAcentral.
GAAGAGUUUGAUCAUGGCUCAGAUUGAACGCUGGCGGCAGGCCUAACACAUGCAAGUCGAACGGUAACAGGAAGCAGCUUGCUGCUUUGCUGACGAGUGGCGGACGGGUGAGUAAUGUCUGGGAAACUGCCUGAUGGAGGGGGAUAACUACUGGAAACGGUGGCUAAUACCGCAUAACGUCGCAAGACCAAAGAGGGGGACCUUCGGGCCUCUUGCCAUCAGAUGUGCCCAGAUGGGAUUAGCUUGUUGGUGAGGUAACGGCUCACCAAGGCGACGAUCCCUAGCUGGUCUGAGAGGAUGACCAGCCACACUGGAACUGAGACACGGUCCAGACUCCUACGGGAGGCAGCAGUGGGGAAUAUUGCACAAUGGGCGCAAGCCUGAUGCAGCCAUGCCGCGUGUAUGAAGAAGGCCUUCGGGUUGUAAAGUACUUUCAGCGGGGAGGAAGGUGUUGUGGUUAAUAACCGCAGCAAUUGACGUUACCCGCAGAAGAAGCACCGGCUAACUCCGUGCCAGCAGCCGCGGUAAUACGGAGGGUGCAAGCGUUAAUCGGAAUUACUGGGCGUAAAGCGCACGCAGGCGGUCUGUCAAGUCGGAUGUGAAAUCCCCGGGCUCAACCUGGGAACUGCAUUCGAAACUGGCAGGCUUGAGUCUUGUAGAG